UAAAGAAAAUGAACGGCAGACUGUGAUGGC
RNAcentral lists this non-coding RNA (30 nucleotides) under Rattus norvegicus (Norway rat). Lineage: Eukaryota; Metazoa; Chordata; Mammalia; Rodentia; Muridae. The record is from RNAcentral.